Suricata suricatta (meerkat) is the source of this 662-nucleotide long non-coding RNA. RefSeq lists it as uncharacterized. Lineage: Eukaryota; Metazoa; Chordata; Mammalia; Carnivora; Herpestidae. The record is from RefSeq and is a predicted model, not a curated record. The transcript has 3 exons.
UCCGCCGCUCCCUUCUGGAAGCGGUCAACUGUGAAUCCCAAGUCCACUUCCAGCACAGGCCAGGGCCUGAUGAGCUUCCGUGGAAGGAUCCCAACCGUCUGAGUCAGAAGACAGAUGCGAGGAUGUGGAAUUGGAGGGACAGUCUGGGUCCCCAAGGAGGAGCCGUUACUUGUGUGCUUUGGCGAGGAGCCAUUUCAUUCCCCGAGCCUCUCUUUCCUCAUCUGUGAAAUGGGAGUGUCUCACAUUGUCCCUCACAGGGCGACCCUUCAGAUGAAGAGAGGGAGAGAGCUUCUGCCUGGCACACUGCCCUGUGAAAGCUCAUGACCCCACGAUGUGCGUGGACGGGACUGCGCUGCCACAGAGCAGAUCUCUGGGCCCCAGCUUCCUCGUCUCUGGAGGAGAGUGAAAAUCCUGCCAACUCCAGGCUACUCCAGAGGACCUCGGACAAGUUUGGGGAGCAGAUGGUGUGCAGCAGGGAUGGUGUGUCACAGAGGGGUGCCCCUGUGGGCUCCCGAUGGAGGAAGUCAGAGGAGCAGAUGCCCGGAGCCCCGUUCUGUGGUCCUAACAUGCAGGCCACCUAGCAGGGAGGCCCUUUAACUAAAGAAGAGGAGGUCCAGGAGCGUCUGGGUGGCUCAGACGGGUAAGAAUCUGACUCUUGAUUU